GCGACAUAAAAAAUACAAAUUGUUUUGCAUUAUAUUGCCUGUAAAAAAACAAUUUGCAUAUUAGUGUUUAAACAUAUAUUGCAGCAUAUUGAUUAAUUAAAAUACAAAUUUAUUGAAUUUCGUAUAAUUCAAUGAUACUUUUACUCGAUAAAGAAAAAUUUGAUAUUAUAUAAAAUAAGAACGAGAAUAGAAUAUUUUAUAAAAUAAAUUUGAGCUUGUUUAUCUUUACCAAAAUCAAAAUCGAUAUAAAAAGGAAGUGGAGGAAAAAAAAAAAAAUUGUACAGUGGAUUAAGAAAUUAUUAUACAACUGCCUCUACUGGACGAUUCUUCGAUUCGAUCUUCUGGAUAUUUUAUUCGUUUUAUUUUUCCUAUGUAUAUAUAGUAUACAUAGAUUAUAUAUAUAUAUAUAUAUUUGAUCGUGUCGUUAUAUAAAUGUGCAAUUAGUGGCGCAGCUCGUGCGAACGAGGAAGCGAGCGAAACUAGCAAAAAAUAAUCGUUUUAAAAAUAUAUUUCUAUCCCGCUUUUAGUUCGGUCAAAUCUUUGUUCGAGUAGUUCCGUUCACCUUUUCAUUCGUGUUCGCGAAAUAUUCACGUCGUCCAAAACCAAGGUCAAAAAUACGACGAACCAUUCGUUCGGCACGAUGCCUACUGCGCCAUUGCAAAUGCUCAUUAUUAGCUAUCAGAUCGAUCUUUUCCAGCGGAUUUCUCAGAUAUUUUCUUUUUUUUUCAUUUUUUUGGAAACGGCACGAUACAAAAAUGUCCCACUUGACAAUUGGAUUGUGGCACAAUUUGAUUGUGUUAAAUUCAUCAAAUCAUUGAAAAAAAAAAAUUUUUUAUAAUAUGGGGUUAUAAAAAUAUAAAAUUGAUCAACCAAAUUAUAUUCUUGUUAUUUUGUCUUAUAUUUAAUGAUAGAAAUUUGUUUUAGUUUUUUCUGAUAAAAAACAAUAUUGAACAUUUUCCUUGGUAAAAAAAAUAUUCGAAUCAAAGUGUACAAUACAAUUGAUCAUUUCUUAAGUGACAAGAUUUAAAAGAGGAGGCUGCAUAUAGACACGUACAUCGUCGCUAUAAUAUUAUCGCCGCGAUAAUAAACAGCGAUGAGCAUCUGGAAGAACUGGCAAACAUUUUACUUUUUCAGAAAGGAAGGAGAACAUUGAGUACGCGUGUUGGCUGACAUCGCGAGAUCGAGAAACGUAUUCACAUUUUCGCUACAUUAAAACAAUAUAUUUCUACUCCUUUCUCUCGAAAGAAUCUCAUAUUCAUACAAUCGCACGGUAUUCUGAAAAAAACGAAAUCUUUCUGACUCAUCGUUACCGAUCGUGUCGAAUGUUCUCAUUUAACAGCAAAAAGAAAAAAGAGAAAAAAAAAAAAAGAGAAGAAAG
Long non-coding RNA from Apis mellifera (honey bee), 1378 nucleotides. RefSeq lists it as uncharacterized. Lineage: Eukaryota; Metazoa; Arthropoda; Insecta; Hymenoptera; Apidae. The record is from RefSeq and is a predicted model, not a curated record. The transcript is spliced from 2 exons.